RNAcentral lists this microRNA (23 nucleotides) under Heligmosomoides polygyrus. RNAcentral describes it as "hpo-miR-10070-3p". The record is from miRBase by way of RNAcentral. Lineage: Eukaryota; Metazoa; Nematoda; Chromadorea; Rhabditida; Heligmosomidae.
UAAUUCUGAAGUUAUGCUCUAAG